GGUCAACUGCAUUAUCCAUGAACUGUAUGUGGAAGCAAAUUGAACUUGUAAAUCAGGAGAUAAAAAGAAACAUAGAUUUGCAAUUUCCAUAAUUCUAACUUUUUAUUCAGUUACUUCAUAAAAAAUUACUCAAUAAAAUAAAAUUGCAAAUGAGCAAAGGAUACUGUUUCCUUCUUAAUUUUAGUAAAUAAGUAAUAGUAAUAAAUAAUCAAUUAAACUUGCCCAAUCAGGUAAACUUGUCAUCCACUCCAGAAAAUGUGACUUCAGUUCGAACAAGCUUUAUUGCAGAACUAAAGGGGAACUAAUGACCUCCUUUUAAUCAAAAUUGCAAAACAUGGCUUAGGGUAAUCUCCAGUAGUGUUUGCCACUUUGCAUAUGGCAAUAAUAAUAGAUUUGAACAGUAACAAGAUGUACACAGAUCUAUUCUAGAAUCUUAAUUUUUUACCUCAAUACCAGUUUCCACUAGAUAAUAUACCAGGAACUUUUAAGCUCACCCUCAACACAAUAUCCAAGCAAUAGCUAAAUGAAUGAGGUUCCUUUGUUGGGAUUAAAAAUCUCACAUUGGGAAAUUAUAAACAUAAAAUGGUCAAUGUAAGUUGUUAGAUUGUAACAUUAACUUCGCUAAUCAUUUUGAUAUGUAAAAUAAUCUAAUUACUUAUA
This 660-nucleotide unclassified non-coding RNA is filed under the name Hevea brasiliensis (rubber tree). The record is from RNAcentral. Lineage: Eukaryota; Viridiplantae; Streptophyta; Magnoliopsida; Malpighiales; Euphorbiaceae.